RNAcentral lists this ribosomal RNA (327 nucleotides) under uncultured eukaryote. RNAcentral describes it as "partial 18S ribosomal RNA". It matches the Rfam family "Eukaryotic small subunit ribosomal RNA", at positions 1470 to 1796 of the family's 1831-position model. The record is from RNAcentral.
CCCUUAGAUGCUCUGGGCCGCACACGCGCUACACUGAAGGAGGCAGCGUGUACUCCUGGAUCGAAAGAUUUGGGUAACCCGCGAAUCUCCUUCGUGCUAGGGAUUGAGGUUUGCAAUUAUCCUUCAUGAACGAGGAAUUCCCAGUAAGUGCAAGUCAUAAGCUUGCGCUGACUACGUCCCUGCCCUUUGUACACACCGCCCGUCGCUACUACCGAUUGAAUGAUUUAGUGAGGACUUCGGACUGGGACCGAUGCGGCUUUCGGGCUGCGUCGGUAUUCUGGAAAGAUGUCCAAACUGUAUCAUUUAGAGGAAGUAAAANUCGUANCA